This 1489-nucleotide long non-coding RNA is filed under the name Homo sapiens (human). Its description in RNAcentral is "HSALNT0017265". The record is from RNAcentral. Lineage: Eukaryota; Metazoa; Chordata; Mammalia; Primates; Hominidae.
AAAUAAAAAGUGGGUAUCUUUUUUAUUUCAAAAUAACAGGGGUUUUAAUAUUUCUACACAGCAUUAGAUAAUAGCCCAAACAUAUUAUUGAUCCCCAAACAAGUAUUUUCCAGAUCAAUUAAUAGUCAUUAUCAAUUAAUAUUCAUGUCUACCUGUCUGAGCAAUGGAUUAGAAACAUUAUAAGUUUCAUUUUAUGGAAGAGAAAGCAGACUAAAAGUCUAGGGAUAUGAUCAUUUGGUUUCUGGUUUCAGUUCUGACACUAACAAGCAAUAUCCUUGGGCAAGUUGUUUAAUCUUUGGGGCCUUAUUUUUCUCAAGUAGAGAAUAACGAAGCUGGAUCUCAUGCUCCAUUCCCAUCUCUUCCCUACCCCCCAUUAUUUCAUAAGAUUUUCUUGCCCCUAUUAUGCCUUAGUAAAUUCUAGAUCAAGAGAGAUCCUGCCCAAUUUCAGAGUAGAGAAGCCCAGGACUAGCUGCGUAAUUUGUGGGGCUCAUUGAAAAAUGGAAAUGUCGAAUUCCUUCUUAAAAAAUAAAGGAUUUCAAGAGGGUAACUGCAAAGCAUUAAAUUUAGCAUGCGGUCCUUCUGAGCAUGUGACCCUUUGCAACUGAACAGAUCACACACAUCCAAGAAGCUGGCCCUGUAGAAAACAAAGAAAUGUUUUCCCCCACCUUCCAACAUUCUCUUUUGCUCUUAACGGAAUGGAAAUCUUAGAAAUGUUGAUGGGACAAUGACAUGAAUCAUGAAAAGAAAGGAAUAGUGGGAAUACGAAUAUUAGAAAGCCAAUGUUUUGUGGAUGUUUGAAACUCUCAUAUACAUUCAUAGGGCUUACCCCACUGGUAUGGGCAACAGGUAACUCUGGUAGUUUCUAAAGAUGCUCCCAGUGAAUUAUGCCUCCUGGUAUGUGGUCCUUAUGCAGUUCCCUUCUACACUGAAUCGAGACUGGCCUGUAAUUUGUGUUCACAACGAAUAGAAUGCAGCAAAAGCAAAGCCCUGUCUCCUAGAGAUUCUGGUAUGUUGUCUCUUUGUUCUCAUUGGUUUUAAGGAACUUAUUUAUUUCUGCCUUAAUUUCAUUAUUUACCCAGUAGUCAUUCAGGAGCAGGUUGUUCAGUUUCCAUGUAGUUGUGUGGUUUCGAGUGAGUUUCUUAGUCCUCAGUUCUAAUUUGAUUUCUCUGUGGUCUGAGAGAUUGUUAUGAAUUUCGUUGAUAAAAUUUUAUAUAUUUAUGGUAUACAUAACAUUUUGAUAUAUGUACACGUUACAGGAUGAUUAAAUCAAGCUAAGUAACAAAUCCAUAAUCUCACAUAAAUUUUUUUUGAUGCUUGGCUGUUUUUUUACUCAUGGAAAGUCAGAAAAAUCAUUGUUAUAUGGGAAAGACAGGAUAUUUUAAGUACUUAUUUCAUUUGAUAAUAUUGUUUUUCUCUUCACUCAAGAAAAACCAUUAAAAAAUCAUGUGUUUGUGAAAGUUAUCCAGGUCUAUCAAUUAUUAUUUAAAGU